RNAcentral lists this ribosomal RNA (405 nucleotides) under uncultured bacterium. RNAcentral's name for it is "partial 16S ribosomal RNA". It matches the Rfam family "Bacterial small subunit ribosomal RNA", at positions 28 to 526 of the family's 1533-position model. The record is from RNAcentral.
GAUGUACGCUGGCGGCGUGCCUAAUACAUGCAAGUCGAGCGCAGCGGGGACGGGUGAUUAACCCGUGGAUCACCUCCUAUAAGACUGGUAUAACUUCGUGAAACCGGAGCUAAACCGGACACUCAUCGAUGGAUCCGUACUGGACUAGCUAGUUGGUAAGGUAACGGCUUACCAAGUCAACGAUGCCUAGCCGACCGGAGAGAGUGAUGGGCCAAACUGGAACUGAGACACGGUACAGACUCCUACGUGAGGCAGCAGUAGGUAAUCUUCCACAAGGGGCGAAAGCCUGACGGAGCAACGCCGCGUGAGGGAGGAAGGUCUUCGGAUCGUAAAACUCUGAUAGUAGGGAAGCGGUACCUAAUCAGAAAGCCAAGGCUAACUACGUGCCAGCAGCCGCGGUAAUUC